GAGUUUGAUCAUGGCUCAGAUUGAACGCUGGCGGCAGGCCUAACACAUGCAAGUCGAGCGGUAGCACAGAGAGCUUGCUCUCGGGUGACGAGCGGCGGACGGGUGAGUAAUGUCUGGGAAACUGCCUGAUGGAGGGGGAUAACUACUGGAAACGGUAGCUAAUACCGCAUAACGUCGCAAGACCAAAGUGGGGGACCUUCGGGCCUCAUGCCAUCAGAUGUGCCCAGAUGGGAUUAGCUAGUAGGUGGGGUAACGGCUCACCUAGGCGACGAUCCCUAGCUGGUCUGAGAGGAUGACCAGCCACACUGGAACUGAGACACGGUCCAGACUCCUACGGGAGGCAGCAGUGGGGAAUAUUGCACAAUGGGCGCAAGCCUGAUGCAGCCAUGCCGCGUGUGUGAAGAAGGCCUUCGGGUUGUAAAGCACUUUCAGCGGGGAGGAAGGCGGUGAGGUUAAUAACCUCAUCGAUUGACGUUACCCGCAGAAGAAGCACCGGCUAACUCCGUGCCAGCAGCCGCGGUAAUACGGAGGGUGCAAGCGUUAAUCGGAAUUACUGGGCGUAAAGCGCACGCAGGCGGUCUGUCAAGUCGGAUGUGAAAUCCCCGGGCUUAACCUGGGAACUGCAUUCGAAACUGGCAGGCUAGAGUCUUGUAGAGGGGGGUAGAAUUCCAGGUGUAGCGGUGAAAUGCGUAGAGAUCUGGAGGAAUACCGGUGGCGAAGGCGGCCCCCUGGACAAAGACUGACGCUCAGGUGCGAAAGCGUGGGGAGCAAACAGGAUUAGAUACCCUGGUAGUCCACGCCGUAAACGAUGUCGAUUUGGAGGUUGUGCCCUUGAGGCGUGGCUUCCGGAGCUAACGCGUUAAAUCGACCGCCUGGGGAGUACGGCCGCAAGGUUAAAACUCAAAUGAAUUGACGGGGGCCCGCACAAGCGGUGGAGCAUGUGGUUUAAUUCGAUGCAACGCGAAGAACCUUACCUGGUCUUGACAUCCACAGAACUUUCCAGAGAUGGAUUGGUGCCUUCGGGAACUGUGAGACAGGUGCUGCAUGGCUGUCGUCAGCUCGUGUUGUGAAAUGUUGGGUUAAGUCCCGCAACGAGCGCAACCCUUAUCCUUUGUUGCCAGCGGUCCGGCCGGGAACUCAAAGGAGACUGCCAGUGAUAAACUGGAGGAAGGUGGGGAUGACGUCAAGUCAUCAUGGCCCUUACGACCAGGGCUACACACGUGCUACAAUGGCAUAUACAAAGAGAAGCGACCUCGCGAGAGCAAGCGGACCUCAUAAAGUAUGUCGUAGUCCGGAUUGGAGUCUGCAACUCGACUCCAUGAAGUCGGAAUCGCUAGUAAUCGUAGAUCAGAAUGCUACGGUGAAUACGUUCCCGGGCCUUGUACACACCGCCCGUCACACCAUGGGAGUGGGUUGCAAAAGAAGUAGGUAGCUUAACCUUCGGGAGGGCGCUUACCACUUUGUGAUUCAUGACUGGGGUGAAGUCGUAACAAGGUAACCGUAGGGGAACCUGCGGUUGGAUCACC
RNAcentral lists this ribosomal RNA (1526 nucleotides) under Klebsiella pneumoniae. RNAcentral describes it as "bacterial SSU rRNA". It matches the Rfam family "Bacterial small subunit ribosomal RNA". Lineage: Bacteria; Pseudomonadati; Pseudomonadota; Gammaproteobacteria; Enterobacterales; Enterobacteriaceae. The record is from RNAcentral. RNAcentral also lists the same sequence under 1 other name.